AGCGUGUUAAUUAAAUUGGUAUAGUAUUGUGCUACGGACACAAUGUUGUAGGUUCGAGUCUUACACACGCUU
Molecule: transfer RNA, 72 nt
Filed under: Coccocarpia palmicola
Lineage: Eukaryota; Fungi; Ascomycota; Lecanoromycetes; Peltigerales; Coccocarpiaceae
Description: tRNA-Arg
Rfam family: tRNA
About the family: Transfer RNA (tRNA) molecules are approximately 80 nucleotides in length. Their secondary structure includes four short double-helical elements and three loops (D, anti-codon, and T loops).
Source: RNAcentral